This 494-nucleotide ribosomal RNA is filed under the name uncultured bacterium. Its description in RNAcentral is "partial 16S ribosomal RNA". It matches the Rfam family "Bacterial small subunit ribosomal RNA", at positions 28 to 507 of the family's 1533-position model. The record is from RNAcentral.
GACGAACGCUGGCGGCGUGCUUAACACAUGCAAGUCGAACGGUGAAGCGCCUUCCUUUUUGGUGGGUGUGGAUGAGUGGCGAACGGGCGAGUAACCCGUGAGUAACCUGCCCCCUUCUUCUGAAUAACCGCACGAAAGAGUGGCUAAUACGGGAUGUUCUGGGUCUGUCGCAUGAUGGGUCUGGGAAGGGGAUUGUUUCGGUGGGGGAUGGGCUCGCGGCCUAUCAGCGUGUGGGGGGUGUGAUGGCCUACCAAGGUGGUGACGGGUAGCCGGCCUGGGGGGGUGGACGGUCAGACUGGGAGUGAGGCACGGCUCAGACUGAUACGGGAGGCAGAAGUGGGGAAUAGGGAACAGUGGGCGAAAGCCUGAUGCAGCGGCGCGGCGUGAGGGAUGGAGGCCUGCGGGUGGUGAACGUCUUUCGCUAGUGAAGCAGGCCUGCCUGGUAUGUGGGUGGGUUGACGGUAGCUGGAGAAGAAGCGCCGGCUAACUACGUG